Molecule: ribosomal RNA, 212 nt
Filed under: uncultured soil bacterium
Lineage: Bacteria
Description: partial 16S ribosomal RNA
Source: RNAcentral
CCUAGCUUUCGCGCCUCAGCGUCAGUGUCAGCCCAGCAACCCGCCUUCGCCGCAGGUGUUCCUCUCGAUAUCUACGCAUUUCACCGCUACACCGAGAAUUCCAGUUGCCCCUUCUGCACUCUAGCCCUGCAGUAUCAGUUGACCUUUCCGAGUUAAGCCCGGAGAUUUCACAAUUGACUUGCAGUGGCCGCCUACGCGCCCUUUACGCCCAG